UCAGUAGUGUAAAUGUAGAAUUCAUUUCUUCCUCGAGUAUCAAUUAUGCACUACAACCAGAAUGCAUUAGUGUAGUUGAUGAUAUGGCUGCAGCUGCUGCUGCUGCAACACUCUCGCUCUCUCUGGUUAGAUCCCAACAGAAUCAUUAUGACAAAACAACACUAUCUUUGUUUACUCUUUCACCUUUCAUAAUUCCCACCAAACACUCUCUUUUCUCCCUCAAAAAACCCCACCAUUACCCCUUCAGAGAUUUUCACUCUUCCUCUUCUUCAUCUUCUUCCAACCACACCACCUCUUCAUUUCUCCAUGAUUCUUUUCGAACCGGAAGGUUUUUGACCAAUGAAGAGAUUGAGAAGCUCAAGAACCUCGAAAAUUUUGUACAUUUUCAAGAAUUGAAAUCUGGGUUUUUGUGGGUUCGUGUGAUGAGACCUGAAGACAUGGAUUCUACUGUGGGUUUGUUAGCUCAAUCGUUCGCUGAGUCAAUGCUGCUACGUUCGGGGUAUGAGAAAUUGUUAAGCUUCUUAGUGAAGCAGUAUUUAGUUGAGAGAAGAGGUGUGAUGCCUCAUGCUGUUACACUUAUUGGGUUUUAUAGAGGAAAGGAAGAGGAGGAGCCUUGUAAAGAAGUAGACUUGGUGGGCACUGUGGAGGUUUGUUUUGAUAGCCGGGGUGCAAAUGCUUCACCUCCCACGCCUACUCCUCCCCGAAACUCGCCUUAUAUUUGUAACAUGACUGUUAAAAUGCCACUGCGAAGGAAGGGUAUUGGUUGGCAUCUUCUGAAGGCAAGUGAAGAACUAAUAUCUCAGAUGAGUUCCUCAAAAGAUGUGUAUCUGCACUGCAGAAUGAUUGAUGCUGCCCCAUUUAACAUGUAUAGGAAAGCAGGGUAUAACAUCAUUAAAACAGAUAGUAUCUUAAUAUUGUUGAUGCUGCAGAGACGCAAGCACUUGAUGUGCAAGAAGCUUACAGUUUUUGAAAGCCCCUCAAAAUCAGAUAUGUCAGCCUCUGAUGAGGAAUUUUGUUCAUAAAUGAAUUUUUGGAAGUUACAGCAUAAUUCUCUAGGUAUAUGCAGUUUCUGUCAUAUGAUUCUCUUCACUAGUAAAACUCAUAUUCUGCUGCGGGUGUUCUAGUUCUUGCUUUUUCACAGAUACCAGACAGAGGCAGAUGUGCUUGUAAAUCACUUUUGUACAUUGUCCAAAUUGUUUGGACUUUUCCAGUCCUGGACAUAGUCCAGCCAGGUUGUGAGUUGUGAUCUUCAAACGGAUUGGUUUCUGUAUGAAGGAGUCAGUCAGAUUUUCAACUAGCCUUGUCUGUUUGUGUCAUGUCUAUGGUAGAAACCUGUUUUGCUACAGGUUUCCUUUUUGCAUGUACUCAUACACCAGAAAGCGGUGUUUUCCAUCGGCACAGUAGCCUAUCAGGGAAACCAGAUUUGGAUGGUCAAGUCUGCUUAAGAUAUCAACUUCAACCCGGAACUCGAGUUCUCCUUCAGCUACUUUAAAUGGCGGCAACUCCAUUUUCUUUAUUGCAACAACCUUCAGAUUUCAAAAGAGAAACAAAUUUAUGGGUCAACUACUCAUCGCAUGCUACUCACUUAAUAAUAUCAUCAUUUAAUAAAUCUAAUUGCUUGGUUUUCUCAGGAAUUUUCAAGUCUAACCUCAAGCAAUCAUGGUCUUACAUUACAGUCUACUUGGAUAACAACGUUUACCUCACCCGACCGCAAAGUGCCCCUGUAAACUCGGCCGAAUCCUCCUUUACCCAGAAAAUUUUCAUCACUGAAAGAGCACGUUGCCUCUUCCAUUUCCCUGAGAGUAAAAACUGAUGAUCCAUGGCGUCUUUUCGGAGGUUGGGGUGCUGUAUUUUCGAGCUGCCAAUACUCUGCUGGUCUGUAAAUCCCUGGAAGGUAUAUAGGUAGAUGUUCAAACAAUGAAAAGAUUCCUCCGAAAAAGGUCUACAAAACAUGGCUUAAUUGAAUAAACCAGGAGAAGCGACGAAGAAAAACUUACAAGGGUCGGUGUGAUCUUGGGACUUGCUUCUUCUGCGCUUGUUCCAUGCCGAGACCAAUCCGAAUGGCAUGAUUGCUAUUUCUGAAUGGAUUUACUUGUCUAUUGAACGAUUUCAGUGAACGGACAAUUGGAUGGAGAAGUUCCGUAAAUGUCACUGGGCUUCGGAGUCUUAGCAAAGAUUGAAUUUGAAAAUCUACUUUAGCGUUAGUGUUGUAUUGAGUACAAAACUCGCACACAAAGAUAAGUUACAGAAAGGAUUAUAGUAUGAGAAAGCUCUGAAGGAUACAGUGCGUACAGAGGAAGAGUCAGGGUAGAAAUACUCAACCAGAUUAUCUAACAACCAUAAUUUACAGAGAAAUGUACUUAAAGUAAAAGAAAAAGCAAAUAAAGGUAGAGUUGUCAAUGCUUGCUUACCUUUCAA
RNA transcript from Mangifera indica (mango), 2418 nucleotides. RefSeq lists it as uncharacterized. The record is from RefSeq and is a predicted model, not a curated record. The transcript is spliced from 4 exons. Lineage: Eukaryota; Viridiplantae; Streptophyta; Magnoliopsida; Sapindales; Anacardiaceae.